CGGUAAUUCCAGCUCCAAUAGCGUAUAUUAAUGUUGUUGCAGUUAAAAAGCUCGUAGUUGGAUUUCUGCCCCGCGCAGGUCGGUCCGCCGCACUGCGGUGUGACUGUGCCUGGAGCGUCGCAUCCUUGUGGGGACUAUCGGUGGCAUUAAUCUGUUGUCGUUUGGGAACCGCAUCGUUUACUGUGAAAAAAUUAGAGUGUUCAAAGCAGGCUUAUGCCGUGAAUACAUUAGCAUGGAAUAAUAAGAUAGGACUUUGGUUCUAUUUUGUUGGUUGGAGGCCAAGGUAAUGAUUAAUAGGGACAGUUGGGGGUAUUCAUAUUUAAUUGUCAGAGGUGAAAUUCUUGGAUUUAUGAAAGAUGAACUUAUGCGAAAGCAUUUACCAAGGAUGUUUUCAUUAAUCAAGAACGAGAGUUAGGGGAUCGAAGAGGAUUAGAUACCCUCGUAGUCUUAACCAUAAACUAUGCCGAGUGUACAUUCAAAGACCCCCUCAGCACCGUAUGAGAAAUCAAAGUCUUUGGGUUCCGGGGGGAGUAUGGUCGCAAGGCUGAAACUUGAAGGAAUUGACGGAAGGGCACCACCAGGAGUGGAGCCUGCGGCUUAAUUUGACUCAACACGGGGAAACUCACCAGGUCCGGACAUAGUAAGGAUUGACAGAUUGACAGCUCUUUCUUGAUUCUAUGGGUGGUGGUGCAAGGCCGUCCUUAGUUGGUGGAGUGAUUUGUCUGGUUGAUUCCGUUAACGAACGAGAUCUCCGCCUACUAAAUAGUCACGCGAAUCCGUUUGGAUCGGUAGGCGACUUCUUAGAGGGACACUUGGCGUUUAGUCAAGGGAAGUUGGAGGCAAUAACAGGUCUGUGAUGCCCUUAGAUGUUCUGGGCCGCACGCGCGCUACACUGAUUCAUGCACUAAGUAUACAACCUUGGUAGAAAUGCUUGGGUAAUCUUUGAAACUGAAUCGUGCUGGGGAUUGGAGCUUGUAAUUAUUCUCCAUGAACGAGGAAUUCCUAGUAAACGCGAGUCAUCAGCUCGCAUUGAUUACGUCCCUGCCCUUUGUACACACCGCCCGUCGCACCUACCGAUUGAAUGGUCCGGUGAAAUCUUCGGACCGCGCGAUGAACAGCAAUGGUCGACGCGUGGAAAGUUGCUUAAACCUUACCAUUUAGAGGAAGGUGAAGUCGUAACAAGGUAACC
Molecule: ribosomal RNA, 1189 nt
Filed under: uncultured eukaryote
Lineage: Eukaryota
Description: SSU rRNA
Rfam family: Eukaryotic small subunit ribosomal RNA
Source: RNAcentral